RNAcentral lists this ribosomal RNA (507 nucleotides) under uncultured bacterium. RNAcentral describes it as "partial 16S ribosomal RNA". The stretch from base 20 to 329 matches the Rfam family "Bacterial small subunit ribosomal RNA", at positions 47 to 358 of the family's 1533-position model. The record is from RNAcentral.
GACGAACGCUGGCGGCGUGCUUAACACAUGCAAGUCGAACGGAAAGGCCCUGCUUUUGUGGGGUGCUCGAGUGGCGAACGGGUGAGUAACACGUGAGUAACCUGCCCUUGACUUUGGGAUAACUUCAGGAAACUGGGGCUAAUACCGGAUAGGAGCUCCUGCUGCAUGGUGGGGGUUGGAAAGUUUCGGCGGUUGGGGAUGGACUCGCGGCUUAUCAGCUUGUUGGUGGGGUAGUGGCUUACCAAGGCUUUGACGGGUAGCCGGCCUGAGAGGGUGACCGGAAGCAGAGGGAGUGGGGGUAGGCGGAGAGUGCGAGGGGGGGGAGGGGGGGGGAGAGAUGCAGGGUGGGGGGGGGCAUGCUGCCGGAACGCCGGGGGCGGGGGUACGGCGUUGGGGGUGGAUACCGCUGGAGCCGGGGAGGGAGGGGGAGGUACGGAAAUGGAUAAGGAAGAACCGGCUAACAACGGGCAGGAAGGGGGGGUAAGGGUUCGGGACAACGCUGCUAAA